Molecule: ribosomal RNA, 624 nt
Filed under: uncultured bacterium
Lineage: Bacteria
Description: bacterial SSU rRNA
Rfam family: Bacterial small subunit ribosomal RNA
Source: RNAcentral
CAAAGAGGGGGACAACAGUUGGAAACGACUGCUAAUACCGCAUAAGCCCACGGCUCGGCAUCGAGCAGAGGGAAAAGGAGUGAUCCGCUUUGAGAUGGCCUCGCGUCCGAUUAGCUAGUUGGUGAGGCAACGGCCCACCAAGGCGACGAUCGGUAGCCGGACUGAGAGGUUGAACGGCCACAUUGGGACUGAGACACGGCCCAGACUCCUACGGGAGGCAGCAGUGGGGAAUAUUGCACAAUGGGGGAAACCCUGAUGCAGUGACGCCGCGUGGAGGAAGAAGGUCUUCGGAUUGUAAACUCCUGUUGUUGAGGAAGAUAAUGACGGUACUCAACAAGGAAGUGACGGCCAACUCCGUGCCAGCAGCCGCGGUAAUACGGAGGAUGCGAGCGUUAUCCGGAUUUAUCGGGUUUAAAGGGAGCGCAGACGGGUCGUUAAGUCAGCUGUGAAAGUUUGGGGCUCAACCUUAAAAUUGCAGUUGAUACUGGCGUCCUUGAGUGCGGUUGAGGUGUGCGGAAUUCGUGGUGUAGCGGUGAAAUGCUUAGAUAUCACGAAGAACUCCGAUUGCGAAGGCAGCACACUAAUCCGUAACUGACGUUCAUGCUCGAAAGUGUGGGUAUCAAA